This 373-nucleotide ribosomal RNA is filed under the name uncultured organism. RNAcentral describes it as "partial 16S ribosomal RNA". It matches the Rfam family "Bacterial small subunit ribosomal RNA", at positions 527 to 896 of the family's 1533-position model. The record is from RNAcentral.
GUAGGUGGCAAGCGUUGUCCGGAAUUAUUGGGCGUAAAGCGCGCGCAGGUGGUUCUUUAAGUCUGAUGUGAAAGCCCCCCGGGCUCAACCGGGGAGGGUCAUUGGAAACUGGGGAACUUGAGUGCAGGAGAGGAAAGUGGAAUUCCACGUGCAGCGGUGAAAUGCGUAGAUAUGUGGAGGAACACCAGUGGCGAAGGCGACUUUCUGGCCUGUAACUGACACUGAGGCGCGAAAGCGUGGGGAGCAAACAGGAUUAGAUACCCUGGUAGUCCACGCCGUAAACGAUGAGUGCUAAGUGUUGGGGGGUUUCCGCCCCUCAGUGCUGCAGCUAACGCAUUAAGCACUCCGCCUGGGGAGUACGGUCGCAAGACUG